This 728-nucleotide long non-coding RNA is filed under the name Solanum tuberosum (potato). RNAcentral describes it as "long non-coding RNA (STUB_LNC002478)". The record is from RNAcentral. Lineage: Eukaryota; Viridiplantae; Streptophyta; Magnoliopsida; Solanales; Solanaceae.
AAGGUAACUAAUGCAAGUUAGUUCACAUUUUAAGUAAUUCAACUUUAGUAACGAAAGUUGAAAAAAUGACAAAAAUAGUUUGUUAUGUCUCGAGUUAGUCUAAAAUAGUCCUUCAAGUAUAUUUAUCUGAGCAAUUUUAUUUUUCGAACUUCACAAGUGAGAUAGAGUUUUUUUUUUUUUUUGGAUAUGUAUAUGUAUAUUUUUCAAAUUUCUGAAUUAUUUUAAAUAAAAUUUCUGACUUCGCUGCUGAAUUGACAAAAAGUGAAAUUAAGGAGUGAGUAGUACAUACUUGUUACCCAGAAGGCUAUGGAGUUUGAUAAUGAGUUCAUCUUCUUCUUCAGUAAAAUUACCGCGUUUAAGGUCAGGUCUCAAGUAAUUAAUCCAGCGGAGACGGCAACUUUUACCGCAGCGGAGAAGUCCGGCAGCUUUGGGAAGGGAUCUCCAGCAACCUUCGCCGUGAGUUCUAAUAUAUGAAAUAAGUCGUUCAUCUUCUUCUUUAGUCCAAGCUCCUUUAUUUGUAUGUGCUUUUUCACAACACGGUGAUCUUCCCAUUGAACACUAAUAAUCUCAAACUACUUCUUCUGUGUAGUAUUUAGCUAUGGAGAAUUAAUUAAAGCCGGCUUUUUUCAGGACUUGAGGUGGGAUUUUAUAAGCUUUUGACUCCAUGAAGAAGAUGGACCCCACUGACGUAGGGAGGUGGUGGUGGGGUAGGAGUAGGAGAAAGGGAG